Molecule: ribosomal RNA, 483 nt
Filed under: uncultured bacterium
Lineage: Bacteria
Description: bacterial SSU rRNA
Rfam family: Bacterial small subunit ribosomal RNA
Source: RNAcentral
AAUGAACGUUGGCGGCGUGGAUUAGGCAUGCAAGUCGCGCGAGAAAUUUCCUUCGGGAAAUGGACAGCGGCGGAAGGGAGAGGAAUAAGUAGAGAUCUGCCCUCGGGACGGGGAUGGCGGUGGGAAACUGCCGGUAAUACCCGAUAACAUCUUUGGAUCAAAUGGUGUGAUUCCGCCUGAGGAUGAGUCUACUUCCUAUUAGCUAGUUGGUGGGGUAAUGGCCUACCAAGGCAACGAUGGGUAGCGGGUGUGAGAGCACGACCCGCCUCACUGGGACUGAGACACUGCCCAGACACCUACGGGUGGCUGCAGUCGAGAAUCUUCGGCAAUGGGGGAAACCCUGACCGAGCGACGCCGCGUGCGGGAUGAAGGCCCUUGGGUGUAAACCGCUGUCGUAAGGGAACAAAUCUAUAGGGGUACUCCCCUAUGGUUGAGUGAUCUUAGGAGGAAGGACGGGCUAAGUUCGUGCCAGCAGCCGACGGU